UGGACCCUGUGCCAGGAAAGGAAGGGCGCAGCUCCUGCAAUGCGGAGCAGCCAGGGCAGUGGGCACCAGGCUUUAGCCUCCCUUUCUCACCCUACAGAGGGCAGGCCCUUCAGCUCCAUUCUCCUCCAAGGCUGCAGAGGGGGCAGGAAUUGGGGGUGACAGGAGAGCUGUAAGGUCUCCAGUGGGUCAUUCUGGGCCCAGAGAUGGGUGCUGAAGCUCCCACGCCUGCCUGUGAAAAUGGAGUCCUCUUUCACCUGGGAGAGCCAGGUGCUGCCCCGAGAAGGAUGCAUUUAUGGCUUCGUGAAGUCUUUCCUGACCCCCGAUGCUGCUGACUAUAGAGACAAAGUCUCACUAUGUUGCUCAGGCUGGUCUUGAACUCCUGGCCUCAAGCGAUCCUCCCACCUCAGCCUCCCAAAGUGUUGGGAUUAUAGACAUGAGCCACUGCACCUGGCCGACCUUGGGCAAGUUCUUAAACCCUUCAAAGCCUCAUUUUUCUCCAAUCACAAAAGGGAAAGAUGGUAAUAUUUUCCCCACCAAAUUCUUGUCGGAUGCCCUCACAGAAUUGAGAUUAUGUACGUAAAACACCAGGUGCCUAACCCGGCACAGAGCAGGAGGGCUAAGCGUGACAUCCAGCACGUGGUCAGUGGAAUCCAGUAUUCCUACCCACCUCUCUAGUCUCCCCUCCACCCCUCUCCCUUUCAGAGGCACCAAGCUGCUUGUGGUCUUGUCUAUUCCCACUCCCUGCCUGACUGAACAUUUUCUCCACCUCCUGAUCAUCAGCAGCAGAAACUGGCUGCUCUUCCUCCUGGGUAGACAGCCAGACUGUAUUUCCCAGCUGCCCCUGCAGUGAGAUGUGGCCAUCGGAGCCAGCAUUGGCCAAUGGACUCUGCAUGGGAGUGACGCAUGCUGCCUCCAGGCUUGUCUCUAAAACCUCCCACGUGUCCUCCGCCUGCUCUUCCCACCUCCAAGGAGCACGGCAAUUGUGGAAGACCCAGAUUAGUGAUGGCAGAACCAUAGAUGGGAGGAACCUGGGUCCCUGACUUAAAGUAUCAUGGAUUUGGAUGUUCCCUUAGUGAGAAAUAAACUUCCAUUGUGUUUAAGCCUUUA
This 1107-nucleotide long non-coding RNA is filed under the name Homo sapiens (human). RNAcentral's name for it is "non-protein coding FAM138C:5". Lineage: Eukaryota; Metazoa; Chordata; Mammalia; Primates; Hominidae. The record is from RNAcentral.